AAAGUACACAAUUGAACAUCCUAUUUGCAACCCUCUUGUAGAUCGAGAUCUUGAUCUUGGUCCUUUUGAUCUGAAAUGGUUAAUAAAAGAGCGAGCUACACUAGCCCAGUAAGAAUGCCACACUACUCACCGAUACAGAAAUGAAUGUUGGUAAAAAUCAUAAAAAUAACUAGUGGAGCUCUUAAUUUAAAUAAAUUCAAUUAUUAUAAGUAAAAUCAUUUAU
This 223-nucleotide long non-coding RNA is filed under the name Carica papaya (papaya). Its description in RNAcentral is "long non-coding RNA (CPAP_LNC004141)". Lineage: Eukaryota; Viridiplantae; Streptophyta; Magnoliopsida; Brassicales; Caricaceae. The record is from RNAcentral.